Molecule: transfer RNA, 77 nt
Filed under: Shewanella putrefaciens
Lineage: Bacteria; Pseudomonadati; Pseudomonadota; Gammaproteobacteria; Alteromonadales; Shewanellaceae
Description: tRNA-Arg
Source: RNAcentral
UCUAUAUUAAUCCAAUCUAAGCAUGGCAUACUGCCUAGCAAUGGCAUGACUCCUAUUGUUUUAUUCGAUCCCAAUAU